GGGCUUGUGGCGCAGUGGUAGCGCGCCUGCUUUGCAAGCAGGAGGCCGAGGGUUCGAAUCCCUCCAAGUCCAC
RNAcentral lists this transfer RNA (73 nucleotides) under uncultured archaeon. RNAcentral describes it as "tRNA-Ala(tgc)". It matches the Rfam family "tRNA". From Rfam's summary of the family: Transfer RNA (tRNA) molecules are approximately 80 nucleotides in length. Their secondary structure includes four short double-helical elements and three loops (D, anti-codon, and T loops). The record is from RNAcentral.